AUACGGAGGAUGCAAGCGUUAUCCGGAUUUAUUGGGUUUAAAGGGUGCGUAGGCGGAUGAUUAAGCGUGAGGUGAAAUGCCACUGCUCAACAGUGGAACUGCCUCGCGAACUGGUUGUCUUGAAUGCUCCUGCCGUGGGAGGAAUGUGUGGUGUAGCGGUGAAAUGUAUAGAGAUCAUACAGAACACCGAUUGCGAAGGCAUCUCACGAAGGGGUGAUUGACGCUGAGGCACGAAAGCGUGGGGAUCAAACAGGAUUAGAUACCCUGGUAGUCCACGCAGUAAACGAUGAUAACUAACCGCUGGGUCGUAGUGAUUCAGUGGCCAAGCGAAAGCGAUAAGUUAUCCACCUGGGGAGUACGACCGCAAGGUUGAAACUCAAAUGAAUUGACGGGG
RNAcentral lists this ribosomal RNA (394 nucleotides) under uncultured bacterium. Its description in RNAcentral is "partial 16S ribosomal RNA". It matches the Rfam family "Bacterial small subunit ribosomal RNA", at positions 523 to 918 of the family's 1533-position model. The record is from RNAcentral.